GAUGAAGAACGCAGCGAAAUGCGAUAAGUAAUGUGAAUUGCAGAAUUCAGUGAAUCAUCGAAUCUUUGAACGCACAUUGCGCCCGCCAGUAUUCUGGCGGGCAUGCCUGUUCGAGCGUCAUUUCAACCAUCAAGCCCCCGGCUUGUGUUGGGGACCUGCGGCUGCCGCAGGCCCUGAAAAGCAGUGGCGGGCUCGCUGUCACACCGAGCGUAGUAGCAUACAUCUCGCUCUGGGCGUGCUGCGGGUUCCGGCCGUUAAACCACCUUCAUAACCCAAGGUUGACCUCGGAUCAGGUAGGAAGACCCGCGGAACUUAAGCAUAUCAAUAAGCGGAGGA
RNAcentral lists this unclassified non-coding RNA (336 nucleotides) under soil metagenome. RNAcentral's name for it is "partial contains 5.8S ribosomal RNA, internal transcribed spacer 2, and large subunit ribosomal RNA". The stretch from base 1 to 120 matches the Rfam family "5.8S ribosomal RNA", at positions 35 to 154 of the family's 154-position model. The record is from RNAcentral.